CAUUUAGAGGAAGGAGAAGUCGUAACAAGGUUUCCGUAGGUGAACCUGCGGAAGGAUCAUUGUCGAAACCUGCACAGCAGAACGACCCGCGAACGCGUAAACAACAACGGCGGGGCGCUCGCGUCCCGCCACCGGGGAGAGCGCGCGUCGAGCCCUCCGGGGCGAGGCGGGUGCUUUCCCUGAAAAAACAACGAACCCCGGCGCGAACCGCGCCAAGGAGCAUGAACGAAAGAGCGCGUCCGCGAAGCCCCGUCCGCGGGUGCGAUCGCGCGGCGUUGUCUUCCUUUACGAAAUCACAACGACUCUCGACAACGGAUAUCUCGGCUCUCGCAUCGAUGAAGAACGUAGUGAAAUGCGAUACUUGGUGUGAAUUGCAGAAUCCCGUGAACCAUCGAGUCUUUGAACGCAAGUUGCGCCCGAAGCCAUCAGGCCGAGGGCACGUCUGCCUGGGCGUCUCACAUCGCGUCGCCCCCCACACCCUCCGUGGCAGAACACGCCACGCGGGUGCCGGGGGCGGACAAUGGCCCCCCGUGCGCUGCCAGCCCGCGGUCGGCCCAAAAAACGAGUGGUUGCCGGCGACAGGCGUCACGACGAUUGGUGGUUGGGUGGAAAUGCCCUUUGCGUCUUGUCGUGCGCCGGGACGUCUCCAGCGAGAAGCUCCAGCGACCCUGACGCGCCGUCUCGACGGUGCUUCGACCGCGACCCCAGGUCAGGCGGGACUACCCGCUGAGUUUAAGCAU
RNAcentral lists this unclassified non-coding RNA (740 nucleotides) under Rubus setchuenensis. Its description in RNAcentral is "partial contains small subunit ribosomal RNA, internal transcribed spacer 1, 5.8S ribosomal RNA, internal transcribed spacer 2, and large subunit ribosomal RNA". The stretch from base 301 to 456 matches the Rfam family "5.8S ribosomal RNA". Lineage: Eukaryota; Viridiplantae; Streptophyta; Magnoliopsida; Rosales; Rosaceae. The record is from RNAcentral.